AGAGUGACAACCCAAAAUAGAAAAUAUGUCAACUAUGUGUGUGUAUUCUUGUAUUGCAAGGGAAAGGAAAAAAAAAAAAAAAAGUGAGUUAGCAGAGAAGUCCCAUUUUUAGGAGUCAGUAAGGCGUAGGAACAACUCUCCAUUUAAUUCUACAAGACACACCAACAAUGAUUAUCCUUGUUUUUACACCCAAGCAAUAUGCCUAUUCAUUGGAAACUUGCGUCUUACAAACACCAUAGAGUAUAAAAUAGUGUGGAUAAUCCAAGUAGUUGUGACUUAUUGGAGGACUGCAUCUGAAUAAGAGUAACGCGUGGUUUUAUUAGCAGUGGGAAGGAAUGGGCCAGUGCCCUUGAUAAGGGAGAAUCAAAUUCUCCAUGAUAGCAUUCCUUUUCUGUUAGCAUAAUAUCCG
This 409-nucleotide long non-coding RNA is filed under the name Vitis vinifera (wine grape). RNAcentral describes it as "long non-coding RNA (VVIN_LNC008259)". The record is from RNAcentral. Lineage: Eukaryota; Viridiplantae; Streptophyta; Magnoliopsida; Vitales; Vitaceae.